RNAcentral lists this ribosomal RNA (465 nucleotides) under uncultured bacterium. RNAcentral describes it as "partial 16S ribosomal RNA". It matches the Rfam family "Bacterial small subunit ribosomal RNA", at positions 28 to 507 of the family's 1533-position model. The record is from RNAcentral.
GAUGAACGCUGGCGGCGUGCUUAACACAUGCAAGUCGAACGGAAAGGCUCCUGCUUGCUGGGGUACUCGAGUGGCGAACGGGUGAGUAACACGUGGGUGAUCUGCCCUGCACUUCGGGAUAAGCCUGGGAAACUGGGUCUAAUACCGGAUAGGACGAUGGCUUGGAUGCCAUUGUGGAAAGUUUUUCGGUGUGGGAUGAGCUCGCGGCCUAUCAGCUUGUUGGUGGGGUAAUGGCCUACCAAGGCGUCGACGGGUAGCCGGCCUGAGAGGGUGUACGGCCACAUUGGGACUGAGAUACGGCCCAGACUCCUACGGGAGGCAGCAGUGGGGAAUAUUGCACAAUGGGCGCAAGCCUGAUGCAGCGACGCCGCGUGGGGGAUGACGGCCUUCGGGUUGUAAACUCCUUUCGCUAGGGACGAAGCGCAAGUGACGGUACCUGGAGAAGAAGCACCGGCUAACUACGUG